AGAGUUUGAUCAUGGCUCAGAUUGAACGCNNGGCGGCAUGCCUAACACAUGCAAGUCGAGCGGCAGCAUGAUGUGUAGCAAUACACAUUGAUGGCGAGCGGCGGACGGGUGAGUAAUGCAUGGGAAUCUGCCCAGUAGCGGGGGACAACCCGGAGAAAUCCGGGCUAAUACCGCAUACGCCCUACGGGGGAAAGCGGGGGACCGAAAGGCCUCGCACUAUUGGAGGAGCCCAUGUCCGAUUAGCUAGUUGGUGAGGUAACGGCUCACCAAGGCAACGAUCGGUAGCUGGUCUGAGAGGACGAUCAGCCACACCGGAACUGAGACACGGUCCGGACUCCUACGGGAGGCAGCAGUGGGGAAUAUUGGACAAUGGGGGAAACCCUGAUCCAGCAAUGCCGCGUGGGUGAAGAAGGCCUGCGGGUUGUAAAGCCCUUUCGAUGAGGACAAAACGCGUCGCACUAACACUGCGAUGUUUUGAUUUAACUCGUUAAAGAAGCACCGGCUAACUCUGUGCCAGCAGCCGCGGUAAUACAGAGGGUGCGAGCGUUAAUCGGAAUUACUGGGCGUAAAGCGCACGUAGGCGGCUUGGUAAGUUGGAUGUGAAAUCCCCGGGCUUAACUUGGGAAUUGCAUUCAAGACUGCCUUGCUAGAGUGUGGGAGAGGGAAGCGGAAUUCCAGGUGUAGCGGUGAAAUGCGUAGAUAUCUGGAGGAACAUCAGUGGCGAAGGCGGCUUUCUGGCCCAACACUGACGCUGAGGUGCGAAAGCGUGGGGAGCAAACAGGAUUAGAUACCCUAGUAGUCC
This 802-nucleotide ribosomal RNA is filed under the name uncultured bacterium. RNAcentral describes it as "bacterial SSU rRNA". It matches the Rfam family "Bacterial small subunit ribosomal RNA", at positions 8 to 796 of the family's 1533-position model. The record is from RNAcentral.